This 388-nucleotide ribosomal RNA is filed under the name uncultured eukaryote. Its description in RNAcentral is "partial 18S ribosomal RNA". It matches the Rfam family "Eukaryotic small subunit ribosomal RNA", at positions 592 to 976 of the family's 1831-position model. The record is from RNAcentral.
CAAUAGCGUAUAUUAAAGUUGUUGCAGUUAAAAAGCUCGUAGUUGGAUUUCUGAUCGAGACAUCAGGUCGGGUCCGAGAGGAUCAUGUACUUUGAUUUUGUUUUGAUCAUCCUUGGGGAGAGCAUUUCUGGCAUUCAGUUGUCGGGAUUGGGAUCCUCAUCGUUUACUGUGAAAAAAUUAGAGUGUUCAAAGCAGGCCUCGGCCUCUGAAUACAUUAGCAUGGAAUAAUAAGAUAGGACUUUGGUGGUCUAUUUUGUUGGUUUGCACGCCAAAGUAAUGAUUAAUAGGGAUAGUUGGGGGUAUUCGUAUUCAAUUGUCAGAGGUGAAAUUCUUGGAUGUAUGGAAGACGAACUACUGCGAAAGCAUUUACCAAGGAUGUUUUCAUUAA